RNAcentral lists this transfer RNA (74 nucleotides) under Endomicrobium sp. RNAcentral describes it as "tRNA-Glu". It matches the Rfam family "tRNA". From Rfam's summary of the family: Transfer RNA (tRNA) molecules are approximately 80 nucleotides in length. Their secondary structure includes four short double-helical elements and three loops (D, anti-codon, and T loops). Further hydrogen bonds mediate the characteristic L-shaped molecular structure. tRNAs have two regions of fundamental functional importance: the anti-codon, which is responsible for specific mRNA codon recognition, and the 3' end, to which the tRNAs corresponding amino acid is attached (by aminoacyl-tRNA synthetases). tRNAs cope with the degeneracy of the genetic code in two manners: having more than one tRNA (with a specific anti-codon) for a particular amino acid; and 'wobble' base-pairing, i.e. permitting non-standard base-pairing at the 3rd anti-codon position. Lineage: Bacteria; Pseudomonadati; Elusimicrobiota; Endomicrobiia; Endomicrobiales; Endomicrobiaceae. The record is from RNAcentral.
GCUGCCAUCGUCUAGGGGUUUAGGAUAUCGCUUUCUCAAAGCGAAGAUCACGGGUUCAAAUCCCGUUGGCAGCG